RNAcentral lists this ribosomal RNA (506 nucleotides) under uncultured bacterium. RNAcentral describes it as "partial 16S ribosomal RNA". It matches the Rfam family "Bacterial small subunit ribosomal RNA", at positions 30 to 523 of the family's 1533-position model. The record is from RNAcentral.
AUUGAACGCUGGCGGUAUGCUUAACACAUGCAAGUCGAACGGCAGCAUGGUCUAGCUUGCUAGACUGAUGGCGAGUGGCGGACGGGUGAGUAACGCGUAGGAAUAUGCCUUGAAGAGUGGGACAACUUGGGGAAACUCAAGCUAAUAACGCAUGUACUCGAGAGAGUAAAGCUGGGGACCUUUAGGCCUGGCGCUUUAAGAUUUGCCUGCGUCCGAUUAGCUAGUUGGUAGGGUAAAGGCCUACCAAGGCGACGAUCGGUAGCUGGUCUGAGAGGAUGAUCAGCCACACUGGAACUGAGAGACGGUCCAGACUCCUACGGGAGGCAGCAGUGGGGAAUAUUGGACAAUGGGGGGAACCCUGAUCCAGCAAUGCCGCGUGUGUGAAGAAGGCCUGAGGGUUGUAAAGCACUUUCAGUGGGGAGGAGGUUUGGAAGGUUAAGAGCUAUUCAAAUGGACGUUACCCACAGAAGAAGCACCGGCUAACUCCGUGCCAGCCGCCGCAGUAA